UGGGGUCAGUUGAGCACAGCGCUGGUGGUGGUGGGGUCGGAAGCUUCGUCCUGAGCGGGUAGAGCAGGAACGUCCUUCCUCAUAAGAAACUGACUCACCCGAAUGCCUCCCAGUGGAGACAGAGAGGUCCGUGGAGCUGGCUUCGGGGCCUCACAGGCCACUUUCCUCUCGUGCUCUGGGAGGAUUGCAGGGCAUUUUGCCCAGACUCAGAUUAGCCCGUGGUUCCAGCCUUUGCCUGGGUGACACGGGCAAAGUCACCGGGGAGCCACGGCAGAGCUGUUCCUCCAGCGGGAAGAAAAAGCUGAGGUUAGCGAGUGAGGAUGAACGCGUGGAAGCUGAGUGUUGGAGGGAAAGCUUCAGAGAAGCUUCUUGGGGUUGAGUUUGUGUGAUAGGAAAUAUUCCUCUUUGAUGAGGCAUUAAAAACAAUUUUUUUUUUGAAUGGUUAUUUACUUUUGAGAGAAAGAAAGAGAGAGACGAAGAGGGUGCGUGCAGGGGAGGGGCAGAGAGAGGGAGACCCAGAAUCCGAGGCAGGGUGCAGGCUGCGAGCUGUCAGCGCAGAGCUGGAUGCGGGGCUCGAACCCACAGACCACGAGGUCAUGACGUGAGCUGAAUGAAGUAGGACGCUUAACUGACCGAGCCAACCAGGCACCCGCCCCACCCCACCCCUGCCCCGCCUCCUUUAUUUAGGUGCAGGAAGGAUGCAUUUGCUCCCCGGUCAGGUUCCCAUGGUGGGGGAGACAGCGUUUCUGCCAUAAAUCAGGCCGGGCCGGCCAUGGCCUUUUCUCAAACAGGGCAAGGGCACUGGGGCUUCUGGGACGUCGGUGGGACUCUCGAGUAGGGUGGGCCCAGCGCCGUGGGAGAGCCCCUCUCGCUAUGCUCCAGCGGGGUGGCAAUAGCGAAGACAAUAGGCCAGACUUUUGUCCUUCACAGGGAGUUUCCCAAGUCACUGAGGCCUCACGACAGCCCUGCAGCUGGCAGGAAAGGGGUUUUUAUUUCUAAGCUGCUGAAACAGUCUGAGAGAGAAAAAACGACCCCGCGACAAAAGUGGCAGAGCCGGGAAUAGAACUCAUGCACCUUGUUGCCACAUCCUGCGCUUCUGGUUUGUCACUGCAUUUAUGUGUUGCAGAAGGAUUCGUGGGGGAAGGGUGUGGGGCCCAGGCUGGAGGAGACACAGCGGGGGUGGGCGGAGGUGGCAGCCUGCCUUCUCCCCGGGGGACAUUCUGGGCUGUGUGGUCCUCUCUUGCCCAGUUGAGCCGCCCCUGGGGCUGCCAUGGGGAGGGCCCCGGGGCUGAGGCCAAACGACAGAGCAGGCUUCUCGCGUGCCUGUGGCCUUCUUGAGUGUCCUGACUGUCCGUUGUCCGCAGCUGCUCUCCCUGCAACCCCCAAGGCUCCUGGCUCUGGCCUGGGGAGGCGAAUAAUGGCCACAUGGAUAUCUUCUGGAAGCAUCUGAGUUCCUGGUCCUGGGGGAAGAAGGGAUGGGGUGUGGGUUGAAGAGAGCACAAAGGAGCGGGAGAAACCUCAAAGGCACAGGGCCCAAUCUUGGGGAAGCCUUCUUGGGCGCCCGGAAACUCAACGUAUGCUGCAGAGACCCCUACUGGGGAGAGAUGUAAUUACAACACGGUUCCGCGCUUGCGCAGACACACAGGGCCUGCAGCAGGUCCGCGCAAGGGUGGGAACCCAGGCUUUGGGGUCCGAGCCACCGGAUUUGGGUCUUGGAUCAGUCACGCAAUGGCUGAGACUCUGGGCAAGUUACUGGAAGCUCUCUGAGCCUGUUGAAUGGAAUAGGUACAAAACCUCCCCUAUGUAUCUCGUAGGGUUGUUCCGGGGGAAUCAAAGCAUACGAAGCGGGGCCCCUGGGUGGCUCAGCCGUGAAGCGGCUGACUUCUGCUCGGGUCACGAUCUCGUGGUUCAUGAGUUCGACCCCCGCUUUGGGUGAGCCCUGCUUUUCUCCCCACCCCACCCCUGCCCCUCAUGGGAUUCUCUCUCUUUCUCUGCUCCCCUCGCUCACUGGUGCCCUCUCUCUCUCAAAAUACAGUGGCCUCUCUCUCAAGGCCACUGACUUGGCCUUGAAAGCUCAAAGCUCUCCAACAGACGUGGGCAGAUUCGGCCUCUGUCUCUCCCUGUGCGUACUCAGGGUGGUGAGCCACCUCGGUGUCAGUGCCUCGUGCCUUCUGCCCGGUGAAGGGAGCGCCCAGGGUAGCUCUGCAGUCUUCCCUUGGGAAGUUUUGUACACGCAGCGCGGCUGGGCCGGCCCUGUGUCGCACCGAGCCCCAGGGUCGGUGACAACGGACACUGUGUCUUCACCCUGACUUGGGUGGCAGAAAGCAGAGGAGCCUCUGUGGCCUGCAGCCGGAUGCCUCUGGGACCCCGGACCGCUGUGUCCCGCGGAGGGUCUGUCCUCGGUGUCUCCUUGAGGCCCCGGGGACAGUGCCGUGGCCUCACUGCGCGGUCCAGGACGGUAACAGCGGCUCCCUCCCCGUCUCAGCGCCGCCCUUGUGUGCAGGGCCAGGGAUCCUGGGAGGGGACACGGUCGGGGAGACAGUGUUCGGUAGGUAUCCCUGGGGAGUCGGCCACUCGGCCCCUGGAGGUCCCAGCCGGGCAGGAAGUGGAAAAGGUUACCCGGAGCUCUGGACAGCUUGUCGCUGUUUUGCAACCAGGACCCGGAGGCAAACCAAUCCUGGCUGCUGGGACUUAGGGACCUUACAGCGAACGACUGUGUGUCCUCUCUGCAGAUCAGGUGCCCAAGGCUGCAGGGCCCUGGCCCCUCCGGAGCCUGGAUGACUCUGCCUAUUUGUCAACGCCACCAAGGAUUUCACCCUGCGGGUCUGUGGUGAGGGGGGGGCGGAGGGCUCACAUCUGAACUUUGACCUUUCCGCUCUGCCCUGCCUGACCAGGCCAGAGUCUCCUCAGAGCUCAAACUCUUCCUUUCGCGCACAGAGAAGCUGCGGGAGCCUGAUAUCGCUGCCAGUUCCCGGGUGGCGAAGGGUGGGGCCCGCUGUGUCCCCCUGACGGGCUCCCUGCGACAGGCCGGAGAGGACGUGUGGUACAGUCGGGCCCCACUUGGCCGGGUGGCGGGGGUGGGGGACCACUCUCAGCGUCACCUGGACUUCUGGGGUCGGUGACAGCUAUCGCUGCUCGGCCAGGAACCGGUCAGUCAGAGCUCAGGCUCAGUCCCCACCGGGCCCCUCUGCGCAGGUAACCCCCUCCUGUGAGCCCCCUCCUUGACAGCCUGGGCCUAGGUGCUUAGCAUCCCCACCUGGCUUCCUGGGGACUCCAGGGGUGGUCGAGGAAAAGGCGGGCGGGAUCACUGAGAGCAGUGAGUGUCUCUGGGGUGGCAGGAAAGGACGGUUCUGGUGCCAUCACCCCAGGGCCUGCUGUCCCGCUUCUGUCUGUCAGCCCCAGACCCUGCGCUUGGCUCACUCCUGGGUCUCCCCCGGCCCACCCGCUCCUGCAGACCCACUGAGGAGGAGCCCCAGACCUUGGCCGCGUCCUCAGAGAAGCCUGGAGCUGCUCUGAGAGGGAGAUCUAGGCCGUGGCUCCUGUGGCAUCCAGGACGGCCUCUCCCGGUGUCCACAGGCCGCUGCGGGAAACCGCUUCGGUCCAAACACAUUCUGUCCCUCUCUCCUCUUCUUGGCCGACUUCUGGACGUCUCUCUGCUCCCUGUCUCUGAGUCCCAUGCUCCCCCCACCGAGCCAGCCAGGCGCCCCCCGAGCAUUUAGAAGGUGCCUGUGUUGUUGGAGGCUUCGAGGAGAGGUCUGGAUACAUCGCCACCCCUCUGGGAGCUCAGUCACAAUUGUUACAGUUCGCCCCUAACCCCACGAAAUGACUUGAGCGGGGACUGAGCGAGUUGUACGAGAGCCUUUGUCCGUGUCUGGCUUCUCCAUUGAAUGAGACCAACGCUCAUUCUUAGUUCCUUCUGUGUCUCCAAUAUACAGCAUGGAAUAGGCGUGAAACAUGCGACUCUGACGUGUAUUUAGGGAGCAGCCUGUGCUGGGUGUGACAGGACCCAAGGACACAUGGUCACGGGUUGCAGACGCUAACAUUCUCCCGGCCCUUCCAGGGCGUCCGGAGGGCAGUCUACCUCCUUCCCCCUGAUUCGGCUUCCUUAAGGGGCCUCCAGCCCACCCACACUUCUGACUUCUUUUCUUGGAAAUCCCUUCCCCUGUCUGCCUGUCUUCCAUUUCUUCUCUUUCCUUCCUUUUACUCCAGUUCCUAACCUGUGGUCAUUGUUUCAUUCAGCCUCCUUCCUACUUUGCUCCUUGAAGAAAGAAUUUCUUCUCUUUUUGGUCCUGGGACCUUUGCUGAUUGGAUACAUUCGACCUUGACACGUGGAGAAGUCAAGAGGAAUAAUGUGAGGAGGGGAUCACCCUGUCAGACACAGACAUGAGUGCCACCUGCUGCCGAACAUCUCCCGGUGAGAGAGGGACACCAAUCCCGAGUAAGACAUAAACCCUAUUUCAUUUGCAAACGGAGUUUGGAAUCGCCAACAAGCUGUGACAUAGCUUCGGUUUAAAACAACCUUUUCGGGGGCACCUGGGUGGCUCAGUCAGUUAAGCAUCCACCUCUGGAUUUUGGUCCAGGUCAUGAUCUCACAUUUCGCGAGUUCGAGCCCCAUGUCUGCACUGACAGGGCUGAGCCUGUUUGGGAUUCUGUCUCUCCCUCUGUCUUUCUGUCUGCCCCUUCCCUGUGCUCUCUUUCCCUCUCUCUUUCAAAAUAACUGAACUUAAACAAUAAAAUAACCUGUUUAUGUUUUGUUUAAUCUUAUUUUAUUUCAUUAUUAUUUUUUAAUGUUGAUUUAUUUUUGAGAGAGCCAGAGCACGAGCGGGGGAGGGGCAGAGAGAGAGGGAGACACAGAGUCCGAAGCAGGUUCCCGGCUCCGAGCUGUCGGCACGGAGCCCGACGCGGGGCUCGAUCCCACGAACCGUGAGAUUGUGACCUGAGCCGAAGUCAGACGCUCAACUGACUAAGUCACCCGGGUGCCUCUGUUUAAUCAUACUUUAAAGUGUUCAGAAAGAGAAGAGGGCUUAUUCAUUUUAGAAAAGUCGAACGUUUGAAACAUAAGAAGGUUCAUGAAGUGAUUAAGUGUUGUGAAUAUGUGUAUUCAUCUUCUGUUAACAUUGAAGGAAAUGGGCCCAGAGGCAACUUCAAUUUUAUCUCCUCGGAGCAGCCUUUUGACCACCUUACUUAAGCAAAUCUUUCCUCUUAUUCAUAAUCGUUGUACUCAGCUCAGUUUGGUCAAAUUAUCACAAUCCGUAAAUAAAUACUUAUUUGUUGGUC
Long non-coding RNA from Neofelis nebulosa (Clouded leopard), 5277 nucleotides. RefSeq lists it as uncharacterized. Lineage: Eukaryota; Metazoa; Chordata; Mammalia; Carnivora; Felidae. The transcript is spliced from 2 exons. The record is from RefSeq and is a predicted model, not a curated record.